GACGUAGGGGGCGAGUGUUAUCCGGAAUCAUUGGGCGUAAAGCGCAUGCAGGCGGGCUGCCAAGUUCAUACUGACAAUUCCCGGCUUAACCGAGAGAGGUGUGUGAAAACUGGCAGACUUGAGAGCGAGAGAGGGACAUGGAAUUCCAGGUGGAGCAGUGAAAUGCGUAGAGAUCUGGAGGAACACCAAAGGCGUAGGCAGUGCCCUGGCUCGUUUCUGACGCUCAGGUGCGAAAGCCAGGGGAGCGAACGGG
RNAcentral lists this ribosomal RNA (253 nucleotides) under uncultured bacterium. RNAcentral describes it as "partial 16S ribosomal RNA". It matches the Rfam family "Bacterial small subunit ribosomal RNA", at positions 524 to 776 of the family's 1533-position model. The record is from RNAcentral.